RNAcentral lists this small RNA (28 nucleotides) under Bombyx mori (domestic silkworm). RNAcentral's name for it is "ovarian small RNA-9763". The record is from RNAcentral. Lineage: Eukaryota; Metazoa; Arthropoda; Insecta; Lepidoptera; Bombycidae.
UUGUAUAUGUACAUAAUUGAUUGGAUGU